GACGAACGCUGGCGGCGUGCUUAACACAUGCAAGUCGAACGCUGAAGCCUAGCUUGCUGGGUGGAUGAGUGGCGAACGGGUGAGUAACACGUGAGUAACCUGCCCUCUUCUUUGGGAUAACGCCCGGAAACGGGUGCUAAUACUGGAUAUUCACUGAUCUUCGCAUGGGGGUUGGUGGAAAGGUUUUUUCUGGUGGGGGAUGGGCUCGCGGCCUAUCAGCUUGUUGGUGGGGUGAUGGCCUACCAAGGCUUUGACGGGUAGCCGGCCUGAGAGGGUGACCGGUCACAUUGGGACUGAGAUACGGCCCAGACUCCUACGGGAGGCAGCAGUGGGGAAUAUUGCACAAUGGGCGAAAGCCUGAUGCAGCGACGCCGCGUGAGGGAUGGAGGCCUUCGGGUUGUAAACCUCUUUCGCUCAUGGUCAAGCCGCAACUUAGGGUUGUGGUGAGGGUAGUGGGUAAAGAAGCGCCGGCUAACUACGUGCCAGCAGCCGCGGUAAUACGUAGGGCGCGAGCGUUGUCCGGAAUUAUUGGGCGCAAAGGGCUUGUAGGCGGUUGGUCGCGUCUGCCGUGAAAUCCUCUGGCUUAACUGGGGGCGUGCGGUGGGUACGGGCUGACUUGAGUGCGGUAGGGGAGACUGGAACUCCUGGUGUAGCGGUGGAAUGCGCAGAUAUCAGGAAGAACACCGGUGGCGAAGGCGGGUCUCUGGGCCGUUACUGACGCUGAGGAGCGAAAGCGUGGGGAGCGAACAGG
Molecule: ribosomal RNA, 751 nt
Filed under: uncultured Actinomyces sp.
Lineage: Bacteria; Bacillati; Actinomycetota; Actinomycetes; Actinomycetales; Actinomycetaceae
Description: bacterial SSU rRNA
Rfam family: Bacterial small subunit ribosomal RNA
Source: RNAcentral